GUCGUUGUAGUAUAGUGGUGAGUAUCCCCGCCUGUCACGCGGGAGACCCGGGUUCGAUCCUCGGCAACGGCG
This 72-nucleotide transfer RNA is filed under the name Ipomoea nil (Japanese morning glory). It matches the Rfam family "tRNA". Rfam says of the family: Transfer RNA (tRNA) molecules are approximately 80 nucleotides in length. RNAcentral also lists the same sequence under 1 other name. Lineage: Eukaryota; Viridiplantae; Streptophyta; Magnoliopsida; Solanales; Convolvulaceae. The record is from Rfam by way of RNAcentral.